CCCCGGAUCCCCACCUGCAGGAGAGUCGCUUCACAGGCUGUAGAGCAGGUCUGCAGGUGUGUCUAUCUUUCUCUCCCCCACUCUGUCUUCCCCUCCUCUCUCCAUUUCUCUCUGUCCUAUCCAACAACGAAUAACGUCAACAAGGGCAAUAAUAAUAACCACAAC
Molecule: long non-coding RNA, 165 nt
Organism: Erinaceus europaeus (western European hedgehog)
Lineage: Eukaryota; Metazoa; Chordata; Mammalia; Eulipotyphla; Erinaceidae
Exons: 2
Source: RefSeq, a predicted model, not a curated record